RNAcentral lists this long non-coding RNA (16403 nucleotides) under Lynx pardinus (Iberian lynx). The record is from RNAcentral. Lineage: Eukaryota; Metazoa; Chordata; Mammalia; Carnivora; Felidae.
GCAAGGAGGAGUAAGCUAUUGACAGAGAUUCCCCAGAGCAGAAGCCAUGUGAAGGGGAAGUUCAUGAACUUGGAAACUCUUGCACCACCUGCUGGUAAUUUAGGAAAGCAAUUAAAUGCCAGACGUGGACUGACACACUCACUGUGGCAUUUGGGAGCAACCACACUCUUUGGGUAUCAUAUUAUCAUCAGAGUCUGGAGAGCUGACAGAGGCAGCGUCUGUGCUUAAACUUAUGGAAAACUUAGUUUUGGCAUCUCACACCCCUGGAAAACUGGCCGAUUUUAAAAAGAACUCUUUCUCCUCUUCCCCCUCAAUCCACUCCAGCCAUACCUCAGCCUUGGGAAAGCUUCAGCUCUUUGGACUCCUCUCUUUUCACUCUACUCCCAACAUCGCCUCUUUGGCAGGUUCCUAAGUGGGUUGUUUCUAUCCAGCUCUUGGAGCUAAUUCCCAAAGAAUAAUGUCUACUUUGUUAUUGGGUGAAAGUGCCUGAGACUUUCACUAGAUGCAAAGAGACUCAGAGGCCAGGAUGAUUUCUACGGCCUACAAAUCAUGGAAGGAGAAGCAGUGAGGGGAGGAAGGGAGAGAGCAAGCUAGAACAAGGGCUUUUCCUCUUGCAUCCAGGAUGCCCUGAUCUGCAUCCCUCGGCUGUCUCCAUGAGCACCCAGCAGUCACUGCACCAAUAAGGAGGCUUCUCGAAGCUACUUACCACGUGACAUGUAGUCAAUAUGACUGAUCAUUAUUCAGUAACUCUGAGAUUUAAAGAAUCCAGGUGAUUUAUACAGUCAUGGUUCUCAACCCUUACACUGAAUCACCUGGGGAGUUCAUUACAUUGGUAGAUUCCUGGGUCCUGUCCCAGAGAUUCAGAUUUAAAAGGUCCAGGUAGGGUUGUGGAAUCUGAAAUUCUAACAAGGCCUCCCAGUGGUUCUGAUACUCAGACCACCCUUUAUGAAACACUAAGAGCAGCCAGUAGAGUAAAAGACCUCUCAUUGUUUCCAUUUCCAAAAACGGUUUCUCCAGUUACAUCCUCUGACCUUUCAUCCCAUCCUCUUUAUUGUAGCCGUUUUCUAAAAAAGGAGGAUUACUGUUUGAAAAUUAGAAAAUAAAAUUAAAAUUAAAUGAUCUAAACUCAUGCCCAGAGAGGUAACUCAUGUUAAACUGUUUACUUUUUGGUGUGUAUUCUUCCAGAAUUUGUGCGCGCGCGCACACACACACACACACACACACACACACACAUACUUUAUAGGUGUUGUGUUCACUUAUGAAUAUAUUAGAAAUGUCUUUGCAUGUUGACAAACCCAUAAUACCUUCAACAUCAUUUUAAUGGCUUUUCCAUUAAACAGAUGUAUGGUUACUUACCCAGCGCCCUAGUGUUGAAUAUUUAGAUUUUCCCCAAUAGUUUUAUCCGUAUAAACAAACCUGUGAUCAACAUUUCUGUGCAGAUGCCUGCUUGUUCAAUCUUUUCCUUAGGACGAAUUUCUCAUGGUGGAAUUGUCAAGUCAAAGGUAAUACAUUUUAAGGCUUUUGAUAAAUUUACUAUAUGCAAAGUAUUGAAGAUAUUGCUAAAUGUCCCCCAAGAAAUGUUUCUUGAUUUACCCUCUCAGCAGCAGUUUAUAAAAGGGAGGAAAUACACCCUUGCCAAUCUGGAUAUUAUAAUAUUAGAAAAAAAAAGAACUAUUACCCAUAUGUUCUGAUAUAAAAAAAUAUUUUCAUGGUUUUAAUGUGCAAUUAUUUGCUUCAUAGAAUGAAACUUUUUUAACUAUAUAUUUGCCAGUUAAGGUUCUUAUUUUACGAACUGUUUACUCACAUUCUUUGCCCACUAUAUUCUUUUUUUUAAUGUUUAUUUAUUUUUGAGAGAGAGAGCACAAGAGGGGGAGGGGCAGAGAGAGAGGAAGACACAGAAUCUGAAGUAGGCUCCAGGCUACGAGCUGUCAGCACAGAGCCUGACAUGGGGCUCGAACUCACGAACUAUGAGAUCAUGACCUGAGCUGAAGUCAGAUGCUUAACCAACUGAGCCACCUAGGUGCCUCAAUUUUCCCACUAUAUUCUUGUAACACUUGCCUUUUUCUUACCAGCUAGAAAGAACUGUUCACAUACUUAAGUAUAUUAACUUUGCUGGCUACAUAUGUGCAAAUAUGUUUUCAUGUAUUUCUCGAAACAUCUCACUCCUGUCUUUAACUGGUUUGCUUAGUUACACUGGUAUUAUUGAUUUUUAUCAGGUAAAAUAUAUAAAUUUUGUUUUUAGAACUUCUGUCUUUAGUUUCAUGUGAAAAGACCUCUCCCUCUUCAAAAUUAUAUAAACAUUCACUUACAUGUUCUUUCAGUAUUUUUAUAGCUUAUUUUUACAUUUAGAUCUUUGAUCCAUCUAAAAAUUUUGAUAUGGAAGAUUAACUUUCUUUUCUGUAGUGUCAGUCAAUUGUCCCAAUAGCCAGCGGUUCCCCUAUUUUUUGUGAGAGAAAUGUUCUGAACAGUUGUCUAGGCUAUAUUCACGUGCAUGGUUUGGGAGAAACAACAUCUGUCUUCCGGGGGUGCCUCCCUGUACUAGCCCCACGGUAAAACUUCCCCUUGCAGUUGAUUUUGAGACUCGCUACAUUCUAUGACUUCCAGAGGAAGCCACCCCCCGCCCCCCGCCUCUCCUUCCCACUGUCUGCAGGCUGGUAGGUUUCCAAAGGCUAUAAACUGGCAAGUGAAGGAGAAGAUCAUGUAAGAAACAGUACGUUUUGAUACCGAGAUUUCAUUUGUGCACUCCAGUUCCCUUCCACUGGCACCCGGCAUUUCCCAGCUGCAACAUGAGACAGUGAAAUGAGCAUGAUGUGAGCGCCGAUGUUUAUUUUGACCCUAUGCGUCUCUCUGAGUCAUCUGUAAAAUGGGUAGCUGUGCGUAUUAGUAUGCUUGGGCUGCCAGCACCACACACGACAGACUGGAUGUCUUCGUAGAAAUGCAUCUUCACACGGUUCUGGAAGCUGGAAGUUCGUGAUCGCGCUCCAAGGAGAGUUACUUUCUGGUGAGGCCUGACUUUCUGGCCGGUGGAUAGCUGGCUAUGUCCUUGCGUAUUCUUUCCUUUGUGCACGUGCAUGGAGAGCAAUUGCUGGUGUCUCCUUCUCUUCUUAUGAGGACACCAGUCGUAUCAGAUUAAAGGCUCACACUUAUGCCCUCUUUUGACCUUAUUUACCUCCUUAAAGGCCCUAUCUCCAAAUAUAGUCACAUUAGGAUUAAGGCUUCAGCCUAUGUAUUUUAGGGGGACAAAAUUCAGUCCACACCACUAUGGAUUUCUAGAUCUCAUACAGAUGUAAACAUUUUGAAAAUAUUUUCAAAUAAGUGUCAGAGGCUUCGUGGAGAAGGAGCCUAAGAAUGCAAACUGCAUUUCUACUGAAGUCAGCCAGUCUGUUUUUAGUAUGUCAAAUAUGCCCAGGGCUGUGCUGGAAGUCUCUGGGUGUUCAAAAGAAAAAUACAGCACAGUCCCUACCCUUCAAUGGCAUAGUCUCUCAUUGUGGGGAGCUGAUACCAACCUUUGAAAUAAUGAGAGAACAAUACAAAACCCAGUACAAUUAAGGGCAAGAUGGGGCUUCAGAUAAUACACCUAUGUCCUAGGCAAUCAGAUAAGAGGUGCAUCUUAAGAGUUCAAAUACUGAAGGUGUGGUGAGCCUUUGGUUUGCCCUCUGGGACUUCCCAUAUUCAGAGGCAAAGUAGAAAGCUGCCUCACUUUUCCCCUGAGAAAGCCCCUUGUUAGAGUGUUGGUUUGUGCUGAAGGGAGGCAGGUAUCCCUUGUUCUGAGCUGGUGAAUUAAACUUUAGUUUAUGCAUGGGUAGUGAAGCCCAAUGGAGAGUCGCCCAGGCACAGUGAGGCACAUUACCUUCAAAGAGACCUCCUAGAUAGACUACAGGAGUCAUUGGAAGUUGGGACCAAAGGAAGAGAGAAAACAGCGUCAGCAUUUUCUUCUCUGAACGUCGGCGCUAUUUUAGAGAAGGGAGGCCCAAGCGGGCCGGAGGACCGGCUCCGGUUGCCUGAGCCUGUCAUUCUCAGCAGGGAUCUCACUGCUGCCAGAGAAGGAAGGAGGUGAGUUUAUGGGGACAAGUGUCAGCCUCUUCAGAAGACCUGCAGUGGUGUCAGUGUUCUGAAAGCAGAUAAUCCCAAGCACCACACUGGUGAGAGGCCAGGCAGACGUGGCAAGAGCAGGAGGAGGGCAGGGCAGGGUGGGGCUGCGGGCACACCACACCAGGGCUCACGGUAAACCUUGCCCUUUCCCCCGUGACAACCCCUCCUCUCCUCUCAUCCCCUUCCCCUUCCUUUGGAAAGCAGGUUGCUAAAUACCAGGUCGUAAGCCCCACAAGUGGAGCUACCUGAAGUGGUUUAACCCACUGCAAGUGUUGUACCAAUCAUUCAACAAUUCCCACGGCUGCUUUUGUGAGAAGCCUCUCUCUUAAGCCUCUGGUUUAAGAAUUUAGAGUAAUCAUGUAAAAAUGAUACCCCUGUGCUCCAUGAUCCGCUGAAUCUCGCUAAUGCCGGAUCCCAGAAGAGGGCUUAUUAAUGGUGAGACGCAGGGCCUCUCUCUCAGCUCAUGUUUCACACGGAGCUCUCUUAUGGAUUCAGCUGUAAACCUCGCUGCUGAUAAAGGGAGUAUAAUGAACCUCCCUGCUCCAUGAGAGUGAAAUCGAGGGCCGAUGGACUAGUUACCUGCUGUACCUCCUGGCGCUACGGCCUGCGUGAGAGGCGUGCUUCGUGGCUCCGGGAAAUAAAGGUGCAAGGCCAUCUCCUUGUACACCUCAGGCUUUUCUCUGCCAUGGUGAAAGAGGCUGCCUUCAAAGAUCCAUAUUUGGAAGUGGAGAGAUGUUCUAAUUUCUUAAAUACUUCCAUAGUAAUUGCCUUGUCAGUCGCCGGUGCUAACAAACUGAAGCGCUUCUCAUUUUGGUGCAAUUUCAAUGAAAGUAAAGCAGGCCUUGGAAUCUCUGGAUCCCGUGAACUAGAUCAUUCUAUGAUAUUUUGCGGCUCAGGACUUCUCCCACUUUGUUCUGACAGUGACCACUAGGCCAGUGCUUUCUCUAAUAGAAAUCUGUGAGGGGCACUGGACAUAACACAGUUGUGUCUGCCCCACCCCCACCCCCACCCCACCUUCUGCCAUUCAGGGUCGUUCCCCACCUAGGCAGGCCCUGUCUUAGAUGGGAAACCCUUUCUAGAACCCAGCUCAAAGGCUGGUUGGCAUGCAUUACCACGAAGCCCAUUUUUGAAUGUAGAAUUUCACACUUAAAACAGCUUGACUCCAAAUCAAGCUUUAUCCUUUUCUAAACACGCACACCCAAUAUCUUACUUGCCACUUAAACAGCGAGGCAAGAGGCUAAGAGAAUCUUGUGCUAGAGAUGACAAAACUGAGGCACACAGAUGUUAGGUCACUUGCUAAAGCCACACAGAACUUCAGUUGUGGAACUUGGAUGAAAUAGAUAGGCCAGGCUUCCAGCAAAGGCGGCUAAACAUGCCAUUUCUCUCCAACUAUAGGAUUACCUUAUCAGAAUAUGUCUUGGAAACUGAAAACAACAGCAACAGUGCCUGACUUUCUUUUUUUUUUAAUUUUUUUAACGUUUAUUUAUUUUGUUUUAAUUUUUUUUAAGUUUAUUCAUUUUUUUUCAAUAUAUGAAAUUUAUUGUCAAAUUGGUUUCCAUACAACACCCAGUGCUCAUCCCAAAAGGUGCCCUCCUCAAUACCCAUCACCCACCCCCAUCAACCCUCAGUUUGUUCUCAGUUUUUAAGAACAUUUAUUUAUUUUUGAGAGAGAGAGAGAGAGAGAAAGAGAGUACAAAUGGGGAGGGGCAGAGAGAGAGGGAGGCACAGAAUCCAAAGCAGGCUCCAGGCUCUGAGUUGUCAGCACAGAGCCCGAUGCGGGGCUCGAACUCACCAACUGCAACAACAUGACCCGAGCGGAGUGGGACACUUAACCAACCGAGCCACCCAGGUGCCCCAUCAAUGCCUGACUUUCUUGAGAGAUAAAUGAUUUGACCAGAUAGUUCCAAAGCAAGCCAUUUUCCUCUGAUUUUUCUAAUAGGACAGGGUGACCCAAGGUAUGUAAACCAUUAGUCCCAAGUGCCCACGCAGGCAGAUCCUGCCAAAGCAUCUUUUACAUCCUCUCACGGGGCGUGCGGCUCAGGCCUCGGUUACUUUGGUGUGCAGCCGGGGCUUUUACUUCCGCAGAUGCCACUUCCGUGUAAUUGGCCAUCCUGGAGGAAUGUUCCAGUAUCAGUCAAGGCUUGUUUCAGUCAUGGGUGGGUGCAACAACAUCCUCGGAAAAGGUGCCCUUUGGUGUGGAGCGAGGAGGAUAAGCACUGGAGAACCCAACUCUGGGUUCUGAAGGAACAGCCAGGACCUUUGCCAGUGCGAUUUCUCUGGAAAGACAUACAGACACAUACACGUAUACAUAAAUACCUGAGGAUAACGUUAAGUGGUACUUUGUCACAAAAACCACACUGUCAGCGGGACCCCUCACAUAACCACUCAUCUGAGUUGAUACAGCCGUUUUUAAAUUUACUUUUCACUUACUUAACCUUACCGAAAAAAGCACCUCAUUUUACUCACUGCUUAUUGAAUAAAGGAUUAGUAUUAUUUUCCUUCCUCCAGUGAACUUUCUUGCACUUCAUCCUCAGUAGAUUGUAUGUCUUUGUGUUUCUCUGCCAAGAUGUCACUGUUGAGCAAAUCACAGGUCCUAAUGCUGCCCCGUUCAUGCAGAGAUAACUUUUUAUUCAGAAUUGCUUAAGGUCAUCUCAAUGGGAGGAAUGGGUAGGAAUGAGAAUUUACCCCCAACUUGAAUUAAAAUAGCUUCCAAGCACUUCCUAGAGCAGGGACAAAGAUGAAAGGGGCCCCAAAUUAUGGGCGUAUUUGAAAUAAUAAGGCAAGGGUGUCCUUUGAAAUACACUCAGCCACAUUUGUUUGCCUUUAAGUCAGAUCACCUUAACCAAGGACGUUGGUGGCAGGAACAAAUGGUUAAUGAUUGUGGAAGGAACCUGGCCAAUUGGCUUUUCUUCCUUUCUCUUUCUUUUACUUAUCUUUUUAUAUUAUUAUUUUUUUUUUAACUUUGGCUAGAAUGCCCAGUAGGAGUGCAGACUGGAAGAUCGGCUGUCUUUUGAACUGGAGACAUCACAGGAAACUGGGGAGGCUCCAAAUUGCUAACCUGAGGCCGGAGCAAAAACUUUUUUUCGUGGAAGGGACUGCUUUUUUUUUCCCUCCCCUUCAUCGAAUGGCAUCCCAAGUCCUGCCGGAUUGCAACUGUCUUUGUUCCUGCAGCCAAGCCUUAUAGCUGGCUCACACUCUGCCACGCUCGUAACCUCACACUAGAAAGGAGAUUACAAAGCGGGGCAAACACCCUAGAGGGCUCCCCUUUAUCAGAACCUUCCCUGUCAGUUGGGCUCCUCAUUUCCCGAGCCCUCGUCUGAUUAUUAGUGUACUGACGGAAUAAAAAUAACCUCAUAUUCCUACAUGAAUCAUAAAUAAAACCCUUUUAUUUCAUCAAAGAGGUUGGCAGGUUUAUAGUCCUUUGCAAUGCAGGCACGAUGUGAAUGACAUACCUUUAAUUUUGCUGACAAGCUCAUCGGGGUUCGAAUGAAAAAAGAGUGGAAAGUGGGUGACUCGGAAGACGGUUGUGCGGGAGAUUUUUGGUGAGGAUAAAUAUUUCACCUUGCCACUGUAAUCAGGGAACCAGCUGAUCUUGGUAAUGAACUCUUCAAUUACAGCCCACUCUGACUCUUCAAAACUUCCUGAGCAACAAUACCACAGUGAUUAUUGCUGACGUUAUGGAUGGAAGCAACUUGCAAAGAAAAAAAGAAGCGGAAGUGGGGGGGGGGAGCUGGUUAGAAAAGGAAGCAGAGGUGUGGUGGGAAAGAAAGCCAUUGAAAGUUAACAGCGGUGGGUCAGUGGGUCAUCACCUAAGGAAAUGAUGAGGAGCUGGGCAAUGGAAAAAGAGUAUUUAUCCUGCCUUCACUCUUGCCUGUUUCCCCUCCCUAUCUAAACCAUCUUGAUGAUUCUGUGAAUGCUCCACAUUUUCAUUAAUCUAGACAUGAGCUCUCCAAGUCAGAGAACCCAGCCAUGAAAGAAUCCAUAGUCUGUAUACCUAGUUCACCUGCCUUUGGUUUCUGUUAUGCAUGACAUAUGAUAUUGCGAAGUCCUUUCUUCUCAAGGACGAGAAGCAUGUACAGCAAGGCUCUCGGUGGUGCUGCCUUUCAUACAAGUGAUUUUCCUGCUUCCUAUUUAGGGAUGGGAAGACUCAAAGAAGAGAAGGAAUCACUAGAUACUGUGUUCCUAAAUUACUGGCCUUCUUCUUUUCUAGAGUCCCAACUACGUUUUGGAGAUCAGGGUUUUAAGAAGGAAGAAAGGAAGAGGAAAACAUGGAAGAUCUUUAAGAGUUUAUUGCUGGAAAAGGGAAGAUGCCUCACUCUAUGACAAGAAUCUUCUGGAGAGUCACUCCAAAAGACAGGCUGAGAACUUAGCCCUUCAGAAUAAGCUCUUACACAGGCCAGCUUUGGGACUCCCAACUUAGCUUGAGCUUUUUCUUACCAAAUCUAGAUUUUCCUCUGCUAUUCGAGAAAUUUUACCACGAAAAAUAGUUGCUACCAGUGAUCUGCAGGCUUCUUUCUGCAAAAAAAUAAGCCAAACUUUGCAGGGUACGUACAGGCCUUUCUUUCAGGCAGCUGAGUAAGACAGGCGAGCUGAAAUGAACCAUGAGAGAACAUAUACUUUCCUCCCCUCAACUGCACUAUGACCUUCUUGAGAACAAGAGCUGUGUUUUUUUCUAAUUGCAUACUUUCCACUGAGCCUCAGGUGUGCAAGUCUCCAGUUUUAUAGGUAACAUAAGAAGCAGGACAAGGGUGGGGCGCCUGGGUGGCGCAGUCGGUUAAGCGUCCGACUUCAGCCAGGUCACGAUCUCGCGGUCCGUGGGUUCGAGCCCCGCGUCGGGCUCUGGGCUGAUGGCUCAGAGCCUGGAGCCUGUUUCCGAUUCUGUGUCUCCCUCUCUCUCUGCCCCUUCCCCGUUCACGCUCUGUCUCUCUCUGUCCCAAAAAUAAAUAAACGUUGAAAAAAAAAUUAAAAAAAAAAAAAAAAAAAAAGAAGCAGGACAAGGGUUACUCAAAGAGCCACAGGAGAGCAAGGGGCUCUUGCCCUUCUACAGAGUUCUAAGACUCAACUUCAUGUAUCCAGUCAGUCCAUAAGUCUUGAGAUCAUCCUCCUGAGUGAGGUGGUUUUUACUUCAUGGAUCCCUUUGUCUUUGGGUAUUUUUCCCCAAAGUUUGUUUACUGUGGUAAAACACAAUCUGCCAUCUUAACAAUUUUUAAGUGUACAGUUCAGUGGUAUUAAAUACAUUCAUAAUGUUGUGCAUCCAUCACCACCAUCCAUCUCCCUAACAUUUUUCAUCUCGUAAAACUGGAAUUCUCUAUACCUUAAACAGUAACUCUCCAUUUCCCCCUACUCCCAGGACCUGGCAACCACCAUUCUGUUUUCUGUCUCUAUGAUUUUGACUACUUUAAGUGGCUCAUGUAGGAAUGGAAGCAUCCAUUUGUCUUUUUGUGACCUGCUUAUUUCAUUUAGCACAUCCUUAAAGUUCAUUCAUGUUAUAGCAUAAGUCAUAAUUUCUUUCCUUUUUGAGGUUGAAUAAUAUUCCAUCGUGUGUGUGUGUGUGUGUGUGUGUGUGUGUGUGUGUGUGUAUUGCUGCUUCCCCAUUUAUUCGUUGAUGGACACUGGGUUGCUUGCACAGGUUAGCUAUUGUAAAUAAUACUGUUAUGAACACGGGUAUACAAAUAUCUCUUUGAGACCCUGCUUUCAGUUCUUCAGAACAUAUACCCAUGAGGGGAAUUACUGGAUCAUGUGGUAAUUCUAUUUUUAAUUUUUUGAGGAAUGCCAUACUUUUCCCCAUAGCAUCUGUAUCAUUUUACAUUCCCACCUCUAGGGCAGAAGUGUUCCGAUUUCUCCACAUCCUUGCCAACACUUGUUAUUUGCUGUAGUUUUGAUAGGAGUCAUCCUAACGUGAGUGAAAUAGUAUCUCGUUGUGGUUUUGAUUUCCAUUGCCCUAAUGAGUAGUGAUAUUGAGCAACUUUUCAUGUGCUUAUUGGCCAUUUGUGUAUCGACUUUGGAGAAACAUCUAUUUGAGUCCUUUGCUCAUGUUUGAAUUGUGUUGUUUGUCUUCUUGUUGAGUUUUAGGGAUUCUCUAUAUAGUUUGUAUAUUAAUCUUUAUCAAGUAUAUGGUUUGCAAAUAUUUUCUCCCACUCUGCAGGUUUCCUUUUCAAUCUGUUGCUAGUGUGUUUUGAUGCAAAAAUGUUUAAAUUUUCAUGCAAUCUAAUUUGUCUAGUUUUCUUUUGUUGCCUGUGCCUUUGGUGCCAUAUCCAAGACAUCAUUCCCAAAUCCAAUGUCAUGAAACUUUUGUCCUCUUUUCUUUUCUUUUAAAGUUUAUUUAUUUAUUCUGAGAGAGAAAGAGAGAAAGAGAGAGAAAAUCCCACAGAGCCUGACGUGGGGCUCAAUCUUAUUAACUGUGAGAUCAUGACCAGAGCUGAUAUCAAGAGUCAGAUGCUUAACUGACUGAGCCACCCAGGCUCCCCUGUCCAUUAUUUUCUUCUAAGAGUUUUAUAGUUUGUGGUCUUACAUUUUGUUCUUUGAUACAUUUUGAGUUAAUUUUUGUGUAUGGUAUUAGGUAAGGGUCCAACUUCAGUCUUUUGCAUAUAGAUAUCCAGUUUUCCCACCACCAUUUGCUGCAAAGACUAUUCAUUCCCCAUUGAAUGGUGCUGGCAUCUUUGGAUCCCUUGAUUUGAAAAAAAAAAAAAAAUUACAUAUACUUGUAAUUCUGAAAAUAAUAUUAGUAGGAAGGUAAUAUUUUCCCAGUUUUACAGAGGAGGACACUGUGACUCAAGAGUUUAAAUAUCAUGGCAAACAUGAUACAAAGGGGUAUCUCUUAAUUAGUACCCCACUUCUCAAGAAAAUAGUAUUUAUACUGAGGACAAAUGAUGGUUGGGAGGCCUAUUCAACACAUCUGAGUUUUAACAAUGAAAUAGGCAGUAAAGAUGUUAAUUGUGCUUCUAGGCAAAGGGCUACAUGGUAUCCCAUAGGCGGACAAGACACCUGUAAGUAAUGAUGACAAUGUACUGCUCUUAUUUCUUUAGGUGAACUCAACACCGAUGCUUACACUGUGCUGAAAAAAAUUUGGCCUGUGAUAGAUUUCCAGGAUCUGUCACAGUUGCCACGGGCUCCUGCACACAACCCUCAGGCUAUGUGAGAAAGCAUCACAUGGGCUCAGGGAGGGGAUGCCCACCCUCAGACCACCUGGGAAGCAGGGUAAUCUCACAAACUACACUAAGAGUGGAGAGAGAAGUAAAUUUCAAGGCUUUCUUUCCAGCAUCAGACAUUUAAUCGGGGCCUGCUAUUCCUAGCAUGUUUAGGGCCAUGAAAGGAAUAAAACAUUAAUUUUAAGAUAUUAUCUUAGUUCGGGGUGCCUGGGUGACUCAGUCGGUUAACAUCGACUUCGGCUCAGGGCAUGAUCUCAUGGUUUGUGGGUUCGAGCCCUGCAUCGGGCUCUGUGCUGUCAGCUCAGAGCCUGGAGCCUGCUUCAGAUUCUGUCUGUCUCUCUCUCUCUCUCUGCCCUUCCCCUGCUCGCACUCUGUCUCUCUCUCUCUCUCUCUCAAAAGUAAAUAAAACAUUAAAAAAAUUUUAAGAUAUUAUCUAAGCUCACAUGCAAAAGCAUGUAUAUGUUGUUACCAAACAAAUGCCAUGCAGAGUUAAGUGCACAAUGAAGGACGACUGGAGAUGGAGCCUAAAAUAGGGACUCAGGGGACCAACAUAAAGCAGGUCUUGCUUUGACAACCGUAUCUAGUGGGCAAAUACCUGAGCACUUUACUAUUCACCAGGCACUGUACUAGAGGCUUCAUGUCUGAAAUUACCGCUAUUCCUUAUUAUAUGUGCUGCCAAAGUGAGCACUACCACGACUCCUUAUAAGAACACUGUGAAAAAGGUGCAUUGGUCAGAAUCCAAGCAGGAAAAAGAAACCUUCUACAUAUUUAUCACAGAGUGGAUUUAAGAUGGACAGUUGGUAACAACGAGAAUAUAAGAUAGUAAAUUGAUAACACAGGGAAUGCAAGAGCUGAGAUGCCAAAAAAGAUGGUGAGACACCUUCCUAUUGGUGGGGAAAGGAAGAAGAUAGAAUUACAAGAGCCCAGAGGGAACCAGAACCACAGAGGAGACACAGUUACUUCUGGAAAUGCCCGCCAAGGCAGUGAGACUGUGGGAAAAAAUACCCUGGUAUCUCUCUUUCUCCUGCUCUCCAUUCUCCCAUGAGUGCCUCCCUCCCAUUGGCCAGGAAACAGAUAAAUGCACUUGCAGGGUCAGCCUCUUGCAACAUAGAGCAGAGCAGAGCAAAACAGAGCAGAGGACAAUCAGACCAAGAUCAGACGCAGAAGGUGUUAUGAUGCCCAUUUUAUAAAUGUAGAUACAGACGGUCAGUGGGCUGUGGUUUACCCAAUUAGUAACUGCAAGAUAGACAUUAGUAUUCAGUCUAGACUUCAGUGUUCACCAGGAACUGUACUAGAUGCUUCAUGUCUAUAAUUGCCACUUUGUAGGGCACCACUGGGAGAGGUCCCUGCAGUCCACACCUUUCUGUGACUAUUUAUUUCUUCCCUGUGCACUAGACUGAGCAACAAAGGGAAAGGUCCUCAGUGACCUGGGAUGCUCCUGGUUUGCAGAGUCAGACCAAAACCCUGGCCUGUUCAGACCUGUCCAGCAAUAAGAUAUUGAUCUUCUGAACACUGCAGACCAUGCUUUAGGGCAGUUGGUUCAACAGCAGCCUAAGGGUGUUUUUCCCAAGGGCUUCGGGAUUAAGACUUCUGCAACUCACUUGUCUCUCUUGAGUGUUUCUCAUGGGCUCUCAGCUUUGACUUCAGAGUCUGACGUGGUCCACUGGCUGUACACAGGCCUGUGUUUUCACUACAAAGUCUGUCGAGCACAGAGUAUGGCACCCAUUAGAUUUCAUCAAUUAAUGAAUGCUGGUCCAAACUGAUUAACUCCGUGUCCCCUGACAUUGAUAUUAACUGUCCUCUGUGGUUAACACUUGAAUCUGUGCUCUGUGCCCUGUGCUCGGGCUUCAGGGGCUUCUGGCCCUCUGUGUUAAACAUGUCAGCGUCCAAGUUCUAUUCCUGGCUCUUGAUAUGAUAAAUAGUUUCCAAAUCACGAUACCCACACAAAUGCAUCUGCCAGGCUAGAUCCUUGAAGCUUGUCUAAAAUCAGCCACUUCUCUCCUUACACUGCCCCUUGAAUUCAGUGUGCACCAAGUAGUAACUGCUUGUUGAUGGGUUGCUGACGAGCACGGUCUCCCCAUUGCUCUUCUUUACAAGCUUGCAUGCUCUCCCUGAAAAUACUGCUUUUAUGCAUAUAAUGAAUUUACUAAGAAAUGUGUCUUUAUUGGAGAGAGACAGAAAGAAAAAGAAAUGGAAAGGAAGAGGAAAAAAAGCUGAUGAAACCAUAGAGAAAGACAAAAUCAACUCUAUUGAAUUCUAGAUUGCCAUCUUGUCAGGAUUUUUGCAAGAUUCUUCUGCCACUCUUUUAAUUUUCAUUACUUUCUAUUUUCCUAGAAUAAGCAUAGAAACAGGUUCUAAUUUUACCAGAGGCUUUUCAUCAAAUCAGACUUUUUAUUCUCCGUAGGUUAUCCUAGUCACAAAACAUCUCUCUUUUCAAAGCUUGCAUAAUAUUAGCUAACUCUAGUGGAAUAUAGUUCUUGAACCCACACAGUGAAGAUGCAAACAUUAUUCUUCAACCUGACUCUAGUUAUUUUUCAUCACAGAGAGUGACAUUCUUAGUCACCAGAAUCUUCACAGAGCCUCUUGAGUUUUAUGAAAAAUUUCCUUAAUCACUGGCUCUACAGACGUGAACUUUUUGAUCAUAAAGCAAGUCACAUCUCUCUUUCAGUGUUUUGAGAAACUUCAGAUUCUUGACACUCCUGUUUCUAAUCUGGUCUAAUGAAGACUUCUCUACAGCCAAAGGAGACUCAUUUCAAGUAGGAUUUGCCACUCCUGUCUGGCACAGUGACCACAUUAGCAGGUUAUCACUUUCACUGGGGCCACGUGGUGACCCCACUUUACUGGAGCAAAAUAGUGGAAGGUUUUCGUGGUGGACUAACUCUCAAAGAGCCGUUCACUGUCAACUCACAGUGUUGGCGUCACUAUCCUCUUCGCCAAAGAAUCAACUGGGAGACAUGGGCCAGCACCCUAACCCCAAAUCAAAUGGUGAGGAGCAAAGGGCUGGCAGACACAAUAUGAGGCCUCUCUUUUCUCACUGAUGAAAGAGGUUUCUACGAUCUUCUUUCCCCCACCCAUGGACAAAUCGGCUUUCUUGCACUUCUCUUAGGAAAGGAAAUUGGUGUGCAGUUCUGAAAUGAAAACAGGUGUGUACUUUGCCGACUCCACAUGUAGCUGAACAUUUAGAGCCUGUCGUUGGCCUGAACGCUGUUGUCGCCGUCCCUUUUAAAACGAAGGUUACAGAGCACCCUUAGAAUGAAAAACUUAAUGAGUACAUACCAUUAAGGAUUUGCAGUAUGUUCACUGCUGGUGGGUUCUAAAGACGUCCUAUACACGGUCCUUUCUAAUAAAGAGUUCAUAUUAUAAUAUCACAGUGGAAACUUCAUGGACCUGCCUUCUGACAGACCUGAACUCUAGUCCAGCUCAGAUGCUAACUAGCUGUGUGGCUCGAUAGGUCUGUCAGGGACUUUUCUUCUUGGUUUUCUCAUCCGAAAAUGGGAUACUGACUCCUGAGAUUUUUGCAAGAUUUUACUAAGAUAGUAUAAGUUAAAAAAAAAUAAAAUAAAAAAUUUAAAAAAAUAAAAAGAGGGGCACCUGGGUGACUCAGUCAGUUAAGCGUGUGACUUCAGCUCAGGUCAUGACCUCACAGGUCACUAGUUCGAGCCCCAUGUCGGGCUCUGUGCUGACAGCUCAGGGCCUGGAGCCUGCUUGGGAUUCUGUGUCUCCCUCUCUCUCUGCUCCUCCCGCACUCAUGCUCUAGAAGAUGGUAUAAGUAAGACAUCUCUCACAGUGACUGGAGUGUAUUAAGUCAUCGAUAAAUAUUUGGGAAGAUUUGACACAUAGGUGUAACAGAGUGUUUUCUGACCAGGUCUGCUAAGGUGAGGGCCAAAUUAAGGGUACACCUUUUAAAGUCUUUGAGGGUUCUGAGUGGAAGGAAGAUGUGAUUAACUAGAACAAUCAAGAAAGACUUCAAGAGGCUGAGGUGGAGCCUUGUCAAAAGGAGGGAUCUGGAAGAAUAGAUGUAAAGCAACCCAGGAAAGAACAGCAGCAUGAUCAAAUAUGAAAAAAAACUCUUGAUUUUGGCUCAGGUCAUAAUCUCAUGGUUCCUGAGUUCAAGCCCCAUGUCAGGCUCUGUGCUGACAGUGCAGAACCUGGAACCUGCUUGGGAUUCUCUCUCUCCCUCUCUCUCUGCCCCUCCCCCACUUGCUCACGCUCUCCCUCUCUCUCUCUCUCUCAAAAUCAAUAAAUGAACAUUAAAAAAAAAGAACAGGCAAAUCUUAUUUUUAAAAAAAGAAAGAAAGAAGAGGGCCAGAGAACGUGAGCCUGGAGAGCUGUUAGUGGUCAGGCUAAGUGUUUUCUCUUUCAAGUAGAAGAGAGACUUUAAGGGUUUGGCACAAGGUGGAUGAUUAAUUGAUGACAGGAGAAAUGUAGGAAGACAAAUCAGGAGAGCUUAGAGCCGAACAGGUAGUGGGAUACCAUUGGAAGGGUCAGGAUGUUACAUGAAUGGAGACAGGAGACAGAAAAGAAGAUAAGUGUGUUUCUGGGUAUGUGACUCACUGAAAGAAUGUGUAUACAUUAGGUCAUGAACGGAUAGGAGUGGGAAGGGAAAAGAAAGGCCUCACAGUUGAUCCUGGGCCUUUGCUUUUGCAUAACAGGGAAAUGGUAGUCACCUUACCACAAAUAGGGGAAGAACUGACUUUGGAAAGGAAAGGCUAAACAGAAAAACAGAUGGUUCAUUGCCCACAAUUCACUUCCAGGUGUCCCUUGAGGGUCUGGAAUGAAGUGAGAACAUAGUUUCAGUGAAUUCCAACUGGGUUAUAUAACAUAUUUUGAAUAUGAAACAAAAUGUAGCAUCUUUUCUACUCAUGGCAAGGAGGGCUUUUUGCCAAGCAAUGCUGGAACAGCACAUCUAUUUUGUUGGGCUGAGUCACUGUGCCUUCAGAAACGGUUCUAAUCUCAGCUCUGUAUGAUGGCUGUAGGGAAGUUUACUUCCAGUUUUUUUCUAAAUCUCAGGUUUUUUUUUUUUUUCUCCAAAAGGAAUAUAAUGACAUCAACUUGUCCUCCAGUGCCACUGUAACACAUUUUGAGAGAAGUUUGCGUAUUUGCUGAGAACAUGUUCAGGGAUCCUCUUUCAGCUGCCCCUGUUUGAUUGCUCCCAGAAUGCAC